This is a long non-coding RNA of Anguilla anguilla (European eel), 214 nucleotides long. RefSeq lists it as uncharacterized. The record is from RefSeq and is a predicted model, not a curated record. NCBI's taxonomy places the organism in Eukaryota, Metazoa, Chordata, Actinopteri, Anguilliformes, Anguillidae. The transcript is spliced from 3 exons.
GACUGGACAGCUGCACGCCCCGGACCCCACUCUUUGCCCACGUCCUCCCUUACAAUCUCAAACCCGAGUGUCUACAGCAAUGGGUAGGCGACAUAUCACAAAAAUCAUUGGACCGGAUAACAUGCGUGGCAGGUGGUGGUAAUACUACUACUACUGGACUACAAUAGAUCAAACAACCAUGGAUUCACACUUGUUUCUGGUUCAAAAGGCUAAG